GACGAACGCUGGCGGCGUGCCUAAUACAUGCAAGUCGAACGAACCGCGACUGAGUGCUUGCACUUGGUCAAGGUGAGUGGCGAACGGGUGAGUAACACGUGGGUAACCUACCUCAUAGUGGGGGAUAACAGUCGGAAACGACUGCUAAUACCGCAUAGGACAUGGAAUCACAUGAUUCUGUGAGGAAAGGUGGCGCAAGCUAUCGCUAAGAGAUGGACCCGCGGUGCAUUAGCUAGUUGGUAGGGUAAGGGCCUACCAAGGCGAUGAUGCAUAGCCGACCUGAGAGGGUGAUCGGCCACAUUGGGACUGAGACACGGCCCAAACUCCUACGGGAGGCAGCAGUAGGGAAUCUUCCGCAAUGGACGCAAGUCUGACGGAGCAACGCCGCGUGAGUGAAGAAGGUCUUCGGAUCGUAAAGCUCUGUUGUUAGAGAAGAACAGCGCAUAGAGUAACUGUUAUGCGUGUGACGGUAUCUAAACAGAAAGCCACGGCUAACUACGUG
This 502-nucleotide ribosomal RNA is filed under the name uncultured bacterium. RNAcentral's name for it is "partial 16S ribosomal RNA". It matches the Rfam family "Bacterial small subunit ribosomal RNA", at positions 28 to 507 of the family's 1533-position model. The record is from RNAcentral.